GCAAACUUGGUCAUUUAGAGGAAGUAAAAGUCGUAACAAGGUCUCCGUAGGUGAACCUGCGGAGGGAUCAUUAACAGAGAUGGUGGGCCCCCGCGCCCCCGUCCCCAACCCUUUGUUGACCAAAACCUUUUUGCCUCGGGGGUGGAGCGGCCGUCGUGCCGCCGCCCCCGGUGGACCACCAAACGCUGUCUCUGUACGUCGGAGUCUUAAUGAAAAUGAAUGAAAACUUUCAACAACGGAUCUCUUGGUUCUGGCAUCGAUGAAGAACGCAGC
RNAcentral lists this unclassified non-coding RNA (273 nucleotides) under uncultured fungus. Its description in RNAcentral is "partial contains small subunit ribosomal RNA, internal transcribed spacer 1, and 5.8S ribosomal RNA". The stretch from base 1 to 73 matches the Rfam family "Eukaryotic small subunit ribosomal RNA", at positions 1759 to 1831 of the family's 1831-position model. Lineage: Eukaryota; Fungi. The record is from RNAcentral.